Molecule: non-coding RNA, 29 nt
Filed under: Cricetulus griseus (Chinese hamster)
Lineage: Eukaryota; Metazoa; Chordata; Mammalia; Rodentia; Cricetidae
Source: RNAcentral
ACAUGGUGAGGGAGGGAUCUGACAGAGAU